UAGGGAAUCUUGGACAAUGGGCGCAAGCCUGAUCCAGCCAUGCCGCGUGAGUGAAGAAGGCCUUAGGGUCGUAAAGCUCUUUCGCCUGUGAUGAUAAUGACAGUAGCAGGUAAAGAAACCCCGGCUAACUCCGUGCCAGCAGCCGCGGUAAUACGGAGGGGGUUAGCGUUGUUCGGAAUUACUGGGCGUAAAGCGCGCGUAGGCGGAUUGGAAAGUUGGGGGUGAAAUCCCAGGGCUCAACCCUGGAACUGCCUCCAAAACUCCCAGUCUAGAGUUCGAGAGAGGUGAGUGGAAUUCCAAGUGUAGAGGUGAAAUUCGUAGAUAUUUGGAGGAACACCAGUGGCGAAGGCGGCUCACUGGCUCGAUACUGACGCUGAGGUGCGAAAGUGUGGGGAGCAAACAGGAUUAGAUACCCUGGUAGUCCACACCGUAAACGAUGAAUGCCAGUCGUCGGGUAGUAUACUAUUCGGUGACACACCUAACGGAUUAAGCAUUCCGCCUGGGGAGUACGGUCGCAAGAUUA
Molecule: ribosomal RNA, 523 nt
Filed under: uncultured Alphaproteobacteria bacterium
Lineage: Bacteria; Pseudomonadati; Pseudomonadota; Alphaproteobacteria
Description: bacterial SSU rRNA
Rfam family: Bacterial small subunit ribosomal RNA
Source: RNAcentral